RNAcentral lists this ribosomal RNA (469 nucleotides) under uncultured bacterium. RNAcentral's name for it is "partial 16S ribosomal RNA". It matches the Rfam family "Bacterial small subunit ribosomal RNA", at positions 28 to 507 of the family's 1533-position model. The record is from RNAcentral.
GACGAACGCUGGCGGCGUGCUUAACACAUGCAAGUCGAACGGAAAGGCCCUGCUUGCAGGGUGCUCGAGUGGCGAACGGGUGAGUAACACGUGGGUGAUCUGCCCCUUACUUUGGGAUAAGCCUGGGAAACUGGGUCUAAUACUGGAUAGGACCAUGCUGUAGGUGGCGUGGUGGAAAGAUUAGUUUCGGUAAGGGAUGAGCUCGCGGCCUAUCAGCUUGUUGGUGGGGUAAUGGCCUACCAAGGCGUCGACGGGUAGCCGGCCUGAGAGGGUGGACGGCCACAUUGGGACUGAGAUACGGCCCAGACUCCUACGGGAGGCAGCAGUGGGGAAUAUUGCACAAUGGGCGCAAGCCUGAUGCAGCGACGCCGCGUGGGGGAUGACGGCCUUCGGGUUGUAAACUCCUUUCAGCCAUGACGAAGCCCUUGUGGUGACGGUAGUGGUAGAAGAAGCACCGGCUAACUACGUG